This 606-nucleotide ribosomal RNA is filed under the name Bacillus sp. CH27. RNAcentral's name for it is "bacterial SSU rRNA". It matches the Rfam family "Bacterial small subunit ribosomal RNA", at positions 96 to 688 of the family's 1533-position model. The record is from RNAcentral. Lineage: Bacteria; Bacillati; Bacillota; Bacilli; Caryophanales; Bacillaceae.
CGGCGGACGGGUGAGUAACACGUGGGCAACCUGCCUGUAAGACUGGGAUAACUUCGGGAAACCGGAGCUAAUACCGGAUAAUCCUUUCCCUCUCAUGAGGGAAAGCUGAAAGACGGUUUCGGCUGUCACUUACAGAUGGGCCCGCGGCGCAUUAGCUAGUUGGUGAGGUAACGGCUCACCAAGGCGACGAUGCGUAGCCGACCUGAGAGGGUGAUCGGCCACACUGGGACUGAGACACGGCCCAGACUCCUACGGGAGGCAGCAGUAGGGAAUCUUCCGCAAUGGACGAAAGUCUGACGGAGCAACGCCGCGUGAGCGAUGAAGGCCUUCGGGUCGUAAAGCUCUGUUGUCAGGGAAGAACAAGUACCGGAGUAACUGCCGGUACCUUGACGGUACCUGACCAGAAAGCCACGGCUAACUACGUGCCAGCAGCCGCGGUAAUACGUAGGUGGCAAGCGUUGUCCGGAAUUAUUGGGCGUAAAGCGCGCGCAGGCGGUUCCUUAAGUCUGAUGUGAAAGCCCCCGGCUCAACCGGGGAGGGUCAUUGGAAACUGGGGAACUUGAGUGCAGAAGAGGAGAGCGGAAUUCCACGUGUAGCGGUGAAAUG